AAAGUCGCAAGACGCUUAAAGUGAGGCCUGGGCACCAUCAGCUAGUUGGUAAGGUAAUGGCUUACCAAGGCUAUGACGGUUAGGGGUCCCGAGAGGGAUAACCCCCACACUGGAACUGCGACACGGUCCAGACUCCUACGGGAGGCAGCAGUUUGGAAUUUUGGACAAUGGGCGAAAGCCUGAUCCAGCGACGCCGCGUGGACGAUGAAGGCCUUCGGGUCGUAAAGUCCUUUUGCUCGGGAACAAUAUUUUGAGCGUACCGAGAGAAUAAGAGGUUGCUAACUCUGUGCCAGCAGCAGCGGUAAUACAGAGACCUCAAGCGUUAUCCGGAAUCAUUGGGCGUAAAGCGUACCGAUAGGUGGUUUUACAAGUCAGAAGUGGAAUCUCUCAGCUUAACUGGGAGACUGUCUUUUGAAACUGUAAAACUAGAAGAGCAAAGAGGAAGCUGGAACAAAUGGUGUAGUAGUGAAAUGCGUUGAUAUCGUUUGGAACACCAAUAGCGUAGGCAGGCUUCUGGGUGCUACUUGGCACUGCUAGGACGAAAGCGUGGGGAGCGAUAAGGAUUAGAUACCCUUGUAGUCCACGCUGUAAACGAUGAUGAUUAGGCGCUAGGGAGUAUCGACCCUCCUUAGUGCCAUAGCUAACGCGUUAAAUCAUCCGCCUGGGGAGU
This 670-nucleotide ribosomal RNA is filed under the name uncultured bacterium. Its description in RNAcentral is "bacterial SSU rRNA". It matches the Rfam family "Bacterial small subunit ribosomal RNA", at positions 202 to 881 of the family's 1533-position model. The record is from RNAcentral.